RNAcentral lists this ribosomal RNA (404 nucleotides) under uncultured bacterium. RNAcentral describes it as "bacterial SSU rRNA". It matches the Rfam family "Bacterial small subunit ribosomal RNA", at positions 355 to 776 of the family's 1533-position model. The record is from RNAcentral.
UGGGGAAUAUUGCACAAUGGGGGAAACCCUGAUGCAGCGACGCCGCGUGGGUGAAGAAAUGUUUCGGCAUGUAAAGCCCUAUCAGCAGGGAAGAAAAUGACGGUACCUGACUAAGAAGCCCCGGCUAACUACGUGCCAGCAGCCGCGGUAAUACGUAGGGGGCAAGCGUUAUCCGGAUUCACUGGGCGUAAAGGGAGCGCAGGCGGCACAGUAAGUCUGAUGUGAAAGCCCGGGGCCCAACCCCGGGACUGCAUUGGAAACUGCUGGGCUUGAGUGUCGGAGGGGCAGGCGGAAUUCCUAGUGUAGCGGUGAAAUGCGUAGAUAUUAGGAGGAACACCAGCGGCGAAGGCGGCUUGCUGGACGACAACUGACGCUGAGGCUCGAAAGCGUGGGGAGCAAACAGG